GUCUACGGCCAUGCCACCCUGAACAAGCCCGAUGUCUGAUCUUGGAAGCUAAGCAAGGUCAGGCCUGGUUAGUACUUGGAUGGGAGACCACCUAGGAAGACCAGGUGCCGUGGGCA
RNAcentral lists this ribosomal RNA (116 nucleotides) under Pteropus alecto (black flying fox). Lineage: Eukaryota; Metazoa; Chordata; Mammalia; Chiroptera; Pteropodidae. The record is from RNAcentral.